Molecule: small RNA, 254 nt
Filed under: Callithrix jacchus (white-tufted-ear marmoset)
Lineage: Eukaryota; Metazoa; Chordata; Mammalia; Primates; Cebidae
Description: Metazoan signal recognition particle RNA (ENSCJAG00000065658.2)
Source: Rfam by way of RNAcentral
GCUGGGCAUGGUGGUGCAUGCCUGUAGUCCCAGCUACUCGAGAGGCUGAGGCAGGAGAAUUGCUUGAACCCAAGAGGCGGAGGUUGCAGUGAGCCGAGAUCAUGCCAUUGCACUCCAGUCUGGGUAACAACAGCGAAACUCCGUCUCAAAAAAAGACAGAGUCUCACUCUGUUGCCUAGGCUGGAGUGCAGUGGUAUGAUCUCAACUCACUGCAACCUCCACCUCCUGGGUUCAAGCAAUUCUCCCUGCCUCAG